Heterocephalus glaber (naked mole-rat) is the source of this 3514-nucleotide long non-coding RNA. Lineage: Eukaryota; Metazoa; Chordata; Mammalia; Rodentia; Bathyergidae. The record is from Ensembl.
CUGGGAUUUUGUCUUUUAAGAGCAGCCUGGUCCUGUCUGCUGCAGAGCCUUUUGUCUCGCUAACCUGGAUCCUGACGGGCGCGACAAAAGGUUCUGCGGCUGCGCUGGGGAGACCUCGGCCCUGAGCACUGGCACAGUGCCUGAGGAGGCCUUUACCAGGGCUCUGGGGUUUGGGGGGGUUCCUUCUGACGUGUUUUCUAAGUUCCUUCUGUCCUGAACAAUGAAUUGGUCGGGACAAGCUCAGAAGACAGCUAGGCUCUACAUCCAUUCAAGGCAGGAAAAUAAACUUGCUGCACAGGGUGAGGACAGACCACUGGGAAAGAGAGCCUCUCUCUGGCUGGUGUCAGGUCGAGGCCUAUCAGAAACCUGCUCAAGUUCUCGCGAGAAGACUUGAAGCGAGCGCUCUGAUUGGCCCCAGGCGUGGGGCUUUGGGAACCGUUUUGCCACCGUUCCUGAAGUUUCUGUUGAACCGUCCCACCCACUUUUCCCGCGGCUUCGUCGCACCUUAAUCUCUUGCCUCAGACUCGCUCUGGGUCUGUGGCUUCUGGGAGCCCGCUGAGGGGUCUGGGCGGCGCUCUCACCUGUCCAGCACAGGUUCGUCCUGCCCAGUGCUCACAGCCCCAAACCUGAGCCCGUUCAGCAGGCUCCUCCGCUUCCACCCGAUGGACGGAGCUCUUCGCUGCUUCCGGUUCUCCCGGCACCGUUAGUAGACAUCAGAAGAGAGAAGACUACAAGUGUAGGUUGGGCCGCUUGUAAAGGCCAGGCAGCCAAGGCAAAAUGACAUCCUCCCGGGCAAGGUCGUCACUCUGAGGAGAGUCAUUGUCCCCACCUCCGUCGCACGUUGGAAGCAGAGGCAGCCCAGAGUCCGAGCCGGGGGUUUCUGAGUCGCCUCAAGCUCUGCCCCACGAGGACAGGAAACCUUUGCCAGGACCUCACCUUACAGAAUCUCACCUUUCCUGCUUUGGUGGAGAAACUACCACAAAGCAAGGAACCAAGAGAGGCUUCCAACCACAGCCAGUAGGACAUUGGAACCAUCAUCCCAGCAGCCUUGAGGAACAGACUCCUCCAAAAGUGCAGACAUAACAUGGAUGCAUGUUCUUCUCCACUAGACCCUUCAGAUGAAGCCCCUUGGCUGCACUUCCUGAAGGGCUCUAAAGCAGGAAAAGUAGCUGGAUCUUGCCUGGAUUCCUAACUCGUCAAAACUUUGAGAUAAUAAAUGUAUGUAUUUUUAAGCCACUAAAUUUUAAAGUACUCAUUACAACACAUAAGAUAACUAAUACAUCCCUAAAUCCCUGUAACUUUGGUAUAAGAUAUAGUAGACCAGGAACCAAGCUCACCUUCCUCAAAUACGGUAGCAGAGUGUCUGACAACAUCCCUGAACACAUUGCCCUCAUGUUUGAAGACUGUUCCUUAUACUUCAAAAAUAAAAUGUGUCGCUGAGUCACGCGAAAGACGCCGAAUCAGCCCGCUGCAGACAGGCAGGCCUGUGCACACCCUACCGAGGUCCUGAGUCACGCAGAAGACGCCGAAUCACCCCACUGCAGACAGGCAGCCACCUGAUUCCACAUUACCAAGGCGCAGAGGACACCAGACCACCAGACCAAGGAAGAACCUGGUAUCUAACUCCAGAAGGAGAGGUGAACAACCCAGAACUCCGUAACGUUAAAGUUGAGAAGCCACUUUUAGACAUAGGCUACGUAACAUUUUGGCAUAGCCAGCCUGGAGGAAAGCUCAGGUACAAGAGACAAAGGACUAGGACUAGCAGGAACCACCCAACCAGUCUGUAAAGCUUGCCCACUCUGUGCCUACAAUAACUCUGGCAAGUCCAAACUGCCUCCUUUAUUAGAACCUGUACAGAGAAGAGGGACAUACCCUGGAGAGGCCUGGCAAUUAGACUUUACCCAUAUACCACCAUGUGGAGGAUGUAAACAGAUGUUAGUCCUAAUUGACACAUUUAUAGGCUGGAUCGAAUCCUAACCUACCUGUUCAGAAAAGGCUAUAAAGGUAGUCAAGGUGCUUCUUUAAAAACUCAUCUCAAGAUUUGAACUAUCCCAGUCCCUGCAGAGACACAAUGGACUUUAGGAAUAAAGUACCACCUCCAUUACUUCUGCUGGCCUCGAUGUUCUGGAAAGGUAGAGAGAGCCGCCAGACCCUAAUGCAAGCUCUGGCAAAACUCUGCCAAGAGACAUCUGAGUCUUGGCUCCAAGUGCUGCCAAUAACACUCAUGAGGGUUCAUAACAUGCCAAAAAGUGGACUAAGUUUGAGCCCAUUUGAAAUGUUAUAUAGGAGGCCAUUUUUAUCCUCUGAUAUGAUAGUAAACCCAGAGACUAUGAUUCUUACAAUAUCUCAUUAAUCUGGGAGACAUACAGCAGGCUAUGCAAAUAUUUGGGAACAAAGUUCUACCAGCUCCUGGACUAGGAGGACCACUCACUGUCCAUCCUGGAGACCAAGUGGUUGUAAAAACUUGGAGGGAACACUUGCUGACCCAUUAAACCCAAAAUGGAAAGACACCCCCCCCCCCGGCCCAGUGACCUUUGGUGGCAGAGAUAUAAUUAGAUUCAUCUUUCUGAAAUAAAGCUAGUCCCUUCUGAACUGUCUGAAGAACAAGAUCACCCAAAGGGAAGAAGCUACUCCUGUGAGGAUUCUGGAAGACUUGAGAUUUCUCUUCAAAAAGCAAGACUGCUCCUCAUAUUUGGGCUAAUACUGAAGUUCUCAUUAUUCCCUGACAGGUUUUCCUUUCUUCAACCCAGCCAGUGAGCCACAGCAUCCCAAGGUAGUUGGAGAGCACAUAAUCCCCAGUAGGUAGGGUCUACAACAGCCCCUUCCAGUUUGAAGAAGUUAUAAAAGACAGAGACCUCCAGUCCCUCAGCACCCCAUAAAGAGUUAUGGGGAUUUGUGUCUCUCAAGGGGAAAUGAGAUAGGAGAGUAGGGCUGGGGAAGUAGGUGUGACCUGUUAAUUACAAGAUCCUGGACAUAUGUGCAGAACAGUUCCCAAAGCCCUGCAUGUGGACUUCUCUCAAGAACUCAAGCAGGUUUUCAAUAGGAUGGCCUAGACCUGACAUUGCCUCUCAGGACCUGGAUGUAGAAGUUCUCGCUGGUUUCCUUGAGAUUUAGACAGCAUAAAAGGACACAUUAAUGCCUUGAAGGUUUUGUUAUCAUAAUUUUCUAUGAUAGCCCAUGCUGUUUUUCCCAGAUACAGUGUGUACUUUUUUGUUUUUAUCUUCUUUUUUAUCUUGUUUAGCUGGUUUCUUCCAUAUCUCCUCACCCCCCACUUUUCACAUAAACUUUUGGCAGUGUUUUUGGCUUGUCUUAUCCAAUUCUUUGUUUGAGACAAGAAUCUGGAAUCUUAACUACAGGAGAGGCAAGCAACCCAGAACCCAGUAACAUUUAGAUGAUGAGCCACUUUUAGAAGCAAGCUACCUGAUAACAGCUUUAAAAUGUGAAUGCCUAGGAAUUAACCUAACCAAGAUGUCAUUUUUGUGGAUAGCCUAUACUGUAUGUAUUUGUUUUUCUC